This 1393-nucleotide ribosomal RNA is filed under the name Mycobacterium paragordonae. Its description in RNAcentral is "16S ribosomal RNA". It matches the Rfam family "Bacterial small subunit ribosomal RNA". The record is from RNAcentral. Lineage: Bacteria; Bacillati; Actinomycetota; Actinomycetes; Mycobacteriales; Mycobacteriaceae.
GUGCUUAACACAUGCAAGUCGGACGGUAAGGCCCUUCGGGGUACACGAGUGGCGAACGGGUGAGUAACACGUGGGUAAUCUGCCCUGCACAUCGGGAUAAGCCUGGGAAACUGGGUCUAAUACCGAAUAGGACCACAGAACACAUGUCCUGUGGUGGAAAGCUUUUGCGGUGUGGGAUGGGCCCGCGGCCUAUCAGCUUGUUGGUGGGGUGAUGGCCCACCAAGGCGACGACGGGUAGCCGGCCUGAGAGGGUGUCCGGCCACACUGGGACUGAGAUACGGCCCAGACUCCUACGGGAGGCAGCAGUGGGGAAUAUUGCACAAUGGGCGAAAGCCUGAUGCAGCGACGCCGCGUGGGGGAUGACGGCCUUCGGGUUGUAAACCUCUUUCACCAUCGACGAAGGUUCGGGUUUUCUCGGAUUGACGGUAGGUGGAGAAGAAGCACCGGCCAACUACGUGCCAGCAGCCGCGGUAAUACGUAGGGUGCGAGCGUUGUCCGGAAUUACUGGGCGUAAAGAGCUCGUAGGUGGUUUGUCGCGUUGUUCGUGAAAUCUCACGGCUUAACUGUGAGCGUGCGGGCGAUACGGGCAGACUUGAGUACUGCAGGGGAGACUGGAAUUCCUGGUGUAGCGGUGGAAUGCGCAGAUAUCAGGAGGAACACCGGUGGCGAAGGCGGGUCUCUGGGCAGUAACUGACGCUGAGGAGCGAAAGCGUGGGGAGCGAACAGGAUUAGAUACCCUGGUAGUCCACGCCGUAAACGGUGGGUACUAGGUGUGGGUUUCCUUCCUUGGGAUCCGUGCCGUAGCUAACGCAUUAAGUACCCCGCCUGGGGAGUACGGCCGCAAGGCUAAAACUCAAAGAAAUUGACGGGGGCCCGCACAAGCGGCGGAGCAUGUGGAUUAAUUCGAUGCAACGCGAAGAACCUUACCUGGGUUUGACAUGCACAGGACGCCGGCAGAGAUGUCGGUUCCCUUGUGGCCUGUGUGCAGGUGGUGCAUGGCUGUCGUCAGCUCGUGUCGUGAGAUGUUGGGUUAAGUCCCGCAACGAGCGCAACCCUUGUCUCAUGUUGCCAGCGGGUAAUGCCGGGGACUCGUGAGAGACUGCCGGGGUCAACUCGGAGGAAGGUGGGGAUGACGUCAAGUCAUCAUGCCCCUUAUGUCCAGGGCUUCACACAUGCUACAAUGGCCGGUACAAAGGGCUGCGAUGCCGCGAGGUUAAGCGAAUCCUUUUAAAGCCGGUCUCAGUUCGGAUCGGGGUCUGCAACUCGACCCCGUGAAGUCGGAGUCGCUAGUAAUCGCAGAUCAGCAACGCUGCGGUGAAUACGUUCCCGGGCCUUGUACACACCGCCCGUCACGUCAUGAAAGUCGGUAACACCCGAAGCCAGUGGCCUAACC